CUCUAGAUUUUCCGGUUGAUCCUGCCGGACCUACUGCUAUCGGGGUGGGACUAAAACAUGCGAGUUGAACGUUUCACAGCUAUGAGUGAAACGUGGCAUACGGCUCAGUAACACGUGGCUAACCUGACCUUAAGACAGAGAUAACCCCGGGAAACUGGGGCUAAUACCUGAUAGGCGAGAAUUUCUGGAACGGGUUCUCGUCCAAAAGGUAUUAUGGUCAUGCUCCGUAAUGUCGCUUAAGGAUGGGGCCGCGCCCGAUCAGGUAGUUGGUGAGGUAAUGGCUCACCAAGCCUGUAACCGGUACGGGCCGUGGGAGCGGAAGCCCGGAGAUGGGUACUUAGACAAGGGCCCAGGCCCUACGGGGCGCAGCAGUUGCGAAAACUCCGCAAUGCACGAAAGUGUGACGGGGCUACCCCGAGUGCCAUCCGCUGAGGAUGGCUUUUCUCUGCUGUAAGGAUGCAGAAGAAUAAGGAGAGGGCAAGUCUGGUGUCAGCCGCCGCGGUAAUACCAGCUCUCCGAGUGGUAGGGAUGAUUAUUGGGCUUAAAGCGUUCGUAGCCUGCUCGACAAGUCUUUCGUUAAAUCCACCGAUUCAAUCGUUGGACUGCGGGAGAUACUGUUAAGCUAGGGGGCGGGGGAAGCCGA
RNAcentral lists this ribosomal RNA (643 nucleotides) under uncultured archaeon. RNAcentral describes it as "bacterial SSU rRNA". It matches the Rfam family "Archaeal small subunit ribosomal RNA", at positions 1 to 612 of the family's 1478-position model. The record is from RNAcentral.